RNAcentral lists this unclassified non-coding RNA (373 nucleotides) under soil metagenome. Its description in RNAcentral is "partial contains 5.8S ribosomal RNA, internal transcribed spacer 2, and large subunit ribosomal RNA". The stretch from base 1 to 121 matches the Rfam family "5.8S ribosomal RNA", at positions 35 to 154 of the family's 154-position model. The record is from RNAcentral.
GAUGAAGAACGCAGCGAAAUGCGAUAAGUAAUGCGAAUUGCAGAAUUCCAGUGAGUCAUCGAAUCUUUGAACGCACAUUGCGCCCUUUGGUAUUCCGAAGGGCAUGCCUGUUCGAGCGUCAUUAUCACCCCUCAAGCCCUCGGCUUGGUGUUGGACGGUUUGGUGGAGGCCCCCUCGGGGGCUCCUGCCCCUCCCAAAGACAAUGACGGCGGCCUCGUUGGACCCCCGGUACACUGAGUUCUUCACGGGACACGUAUCGGACACAUGGGUUUACGGGACACGGUAUGCCUCCCCUCAGGGAGAAUCUUUCUAAGGUUGACCUCGGAUCAGGUAGGGAUACCCGCUGAACUUAAGCAUAUCAAUAAGCGGAGGA